GAUGAACGCUGGCGGCGUGCCUAAUACAUGCAAGUCGAGCGAACGGACGAGAAGCUUGCUUCUCUGAUGUUAGCGGCGGACGGGUGAGUAACACGUGGAUAACCUACCUAUAAGACUGGGAUAACUUCGGGAAACCGGAGCUAAUACCGGAUAAUAUUUUGAACCGCAUGGUUCAAAAGUGAAAGACGGUCUUGCUGUCACUUAUAGAUGGAUCCGCGCUGCAUUAGCUAGUUGGUAAGGUAACGGCUUACCAAGGCAACGAUGCAUAGCCGACCUGAGAGGGUGAUCAGCCACACUGGAACUGAGACACGGUCCAGACUCCUACGGGAGGCAGCAGUAGGGAAUCUUCCGCAAUGGGCGAAAGCCUGACGGAGCAACGCCGCGUGAGUGAUGAAGGUCUUCGGAUCGUAAAACUCUGUUAUUAGGGAAGAACAGAUGUGUAAGUAACUGUGCACAUCUUGACGGUACCUAAUCAGAAAGCCACGGCUAACUACGUG
Molecule: ribosomal RNA, 497 nt
Filed under: uncultured bacterium
Lineage: Bacteria
Description: partial 16S ribosomal RNA
Rfam family: Bacterial small subunit ribosomal RNA
Source: RNAcentral